RNAcentral lists this ribosomal RNA (496 nucleotides) under uncultured bacterium. RNAcentral's name for it is "partial 16S ribosomal RNA". It matches the Rfam family "Bacterial small subunit ribosomal RNA", at positions 38 to 507 of the family's 1533-position model. The record is from RNAcentral.
GGGGGGGGGGGGGGGGGGGGGGGGAGGGGGGAGGGGGGGGGGCGGGGGGGGGGGUUGGGCCGCUGACGUUAGCGGCGGGCGGGGGAGGAACACGGGGAUAACCUACCUAUAAGACUGGGAUAACUUCGGGAAACCGGAGCUAAUACCGGAUAAUAUAUUGAACCGCCUGGUUCAAUAGUGAAAGACGGUUUUGCUGUCCCUUAUAGCUGGAUCCGCGCCGCAUUAGCUAGUUGGUAAGGUAACGGCUUACCAAGGCGACGAUGCGUAGCCGACCUGAGAGGGUGAUCGGCCACACUGGAACUGAGACACGGUCCAGACUCCUGCGGGAGGCAGCAGUAGGGAAUCUUGCGCAAUGGGCGAAAGCCUGACGGAGCAACGCCGCGUGAGUGAUGAAGGUCUUCGGAUCGUAAAACUCUGUUAUUAGGGAAGAACAAAUGUGUAAGUAACUAUGCACGUCUUGACGGUACCUAAUCAGAAAGCCACGGCUAACUACGUG